This 253-nucleotide ribosomal RNA is filed under the name uncultured bacterium. RNAcentral describes it as "partial 16S ribosomal RNA". It matches the Rfam family "Bacterial small subunit ribosomal RNA", at positions 524 to 776 of the family's 1533-position model. The record is from RNAcentral.
UACGUAGGGGGCAAGCGUUGUCCGGAAUCAUUGGGCGUAAAGAGCGUGUAGGCGGCUCGAUAAGUCUGCUGUGAAAGUCCAGGGCUCAACCCUGGAAGGCCGGUGGAAACUGUCGGGCUAGAGUCCGGAAGAGGCGAGUGGAAUUCCCGGUGUAGCGGUGAAAUGCGCAGAUAUCGGGAGGAACACCAAUGGCGAAGGCAGCUCGCUGGGACGGUACUGACGCUGAGACGCGAAAGCGUGGGGAGAAGACAGG